Syzygium oleosum is the source of this 261-nucleotide long non-coding RNA. RefSeq lists it as uncharacterized. The transcript has 3 exons. The record is from RefSeq and is a predicted model, not a curated record. NCBI's taxonomy places the organism in Eukaryota, Viridiplantae, Streptophyta, Magnoliopsida, Myrtales, Myrtaceae.
AAGAGAAGGAAGAAGAAGAGAGGGUUUUGCGCCGCGGGACCUCGCCAAGCCGAUUCAACUUCGUAUCGCAACGCCCGGGUUACGAGAUCGUCGGUUCGAGUGAGCGUCGUUGUGUGAUUUUUGGGGAUUCCAGGUUCUUUGUUUAGCAGCCAAUAGAACGAGAGCGAUGUCAUUGGGACUCUUGGGUGAUUUGAGGCUGCGUCCUUUGGGCGAAAGGACGGCCGUGUCAUUCCCCAUCUUGGUAGGUUUCGGGGUGUGACA